UCCAAUCAAAAAUAAACAAUAUAAAAUAGAGCAUCCAAACAAUUGUAUUUAAAUUAACGACAGAACUAAAACUUAACUAAAACAUUAUAAGAGUUUCCAAAAUCCGAUUAAAAACUCAGCGAAACAGAAAAGGCAGAGAGUACUAUCAAGACAUCUCGAUAAAAUAUAAAGAAAAGGGAAAAUGGACUGAAAUCAACGGUAGGAUUUCUGGAACCUGGCGCGAGCACCGCGACCACCGAACUUCUUGGGCUCGCAGCGGCGAGGAUCAGCAACGAGGAGUGUGCGGUCGUACCUGACGAGGAUGUCUUUGAUCUCCUUCUUCGACUGCUCAUCCACGUACUUCUGGUAAUAGGCGACGAGAGCCUUGGCGAUGCUUUGACGGAUGGCAUAGAUCUGGGAGGUAUGACCACCGCCCUUGACUCGGAUGCGCAUGUCAACGCCGGCGAAACGGUGGCGGCCGAGGAGGAGGAUGGGUUCGAAAGCCUUGAAGCGGAGGAUCUCCGGCUCGACAAGCUCAAUAGGACAUCCAUUGAUCUUGAUAAGGCCGCGGCCGCGCUUGCAGUACGUGACUGCCACCGCCGUCUUCUUCCGGCCAAAGCACUGGACCUGCUCUAAUGCUGGUGGUGUCUGCGCCAUCUUCUCAAUUAGGGUUUGGGGGUUUCACUCAAUGCGCCUCACUCAGGAAACCUAUCUGU
This 695-nucleotide long non-coding RNA is filed under the name Vigna radiata. Its description in RNAcentral is "long non-coding RNA (VRAD_LNC000143)". Lineage: Eukaryota; Viridiplantae; Streptophyta; Magnoliopsida; Fabales; Fabaceae. The record is from RNAcentral.